CCCUUAGAUGUUCUGGGCUGCACGCGCGCUACACUGACGCACGCAACAGGUGCCUGCUCCGAGAGGACUGGGUAAUCAUUUGAGUGUGCGUCGUGAUGGGGAUAGAAUAUUGUAACUAUUACUCUUCAACGAGGAAUUCCUAGUAAGCGCAAGUCAGCAGCUUGCGCUGAUUACGUCCCUGCCCUUUGUACACACCGCCCGUCGCUCCUACCGAUGGGUGAUCCGGUGAAUGAUUCGGACUUCAGCGGCUCCUCUGGGGUGCGCCGGAGAAAGUUUUGUGAACCUUAUCACUUGGAGGAAGGAGAAGUCGUAACA
Molecule: ribosomal RNA, 315 nt
Filed under: uncultured eukaryote
Lineage: Eukaryota
Description: partial 18S ribosomal RNA
Rfam family: Eukaryotic small subunit ribosomal RNA
Source: RNAcentral